AGCGAACGCUGGCGGCAGGCCUAACACAUGCAAGUCGAACGAACCUUCGGGUUAGUGGCGGACGGGUGAGUAACACGUGGGAACGUACCUUUUGGUUCGGAAUAACGCAGAGAAAUUUGCGCUAAUACCGAAUGUGCCCUUCGGGGGAAAGAUUUAUCGCCAUUAGAGCGGCCCGCGUUAGAUUAGCUAGUUGGUGAGGUAAAGGCUCACCAA
Molecule: ribosomal RNA, 213 nt
Filed under: uncultured bacterium
Lineage: Bacteria
Description: partial 16S ribosomal RNA
Rfam family: Bacterial small subunit ribosomal RNA
Source: RNAcentral